This 528-nucleotide ribosomal RNA is filed under the name uncultured Entrophospora. RNAcentral's name for it is "SSU rRNA". It matches the Rfam family "Eukaryotic small subunit ribosomal RNA", at positions 567 to 1092 of the family's 1831-position model. The record is from RNAcentral. Lineage: Eukaryota; Fungi; Glomeromycota; Glomeromycetes; Entrophosporales; Entrophosporaceae.
CCAGCCGCGGUAAUUCCAGCUCCAAUAGCGUAUAUUAAAGUUGUUGCAGUUAAAAAGCUCGUAGUUGAAUUUCGGGAUUGACGUGAUGGUCAUGCCUUAAGGGGUAUGAACUGUUACUGUUGAUUUCUCACCUUCUGGAGAAACUUGAUGUCCUUUAUUGGGUGUCUUGCGGAUCCAGGACCUUUACCUUGAAAAAAUUAGAGUGUUUAAAGCAGGCAUUUUUGCUCGAAUACAUUAGCAUGGAAUAAUAGAAUAGGACGGCAUGGUUCUAUUUUGUUGGUUUCUAGGAUCACCGUAAUGAUUAAUAGGGAUAGUUGGGGGCAUUAGUAUUCAAUUGUCAGAGGUGAAAUUCUUGGAUUUAUUGAAGACUAACUACUGCGAAAGCAUUUGCCAAGGAUGUUUUCAUUAAUCAAGAACGAAAGUUAGGGGAUCGAAGACGAUCAGAUACCGUCGUAGUCUUAACCAUAAACUAUGCCGACUAGGAAUCAGACGAUGUUAAUUUUUUAAUGACUCGUUUGGCACCUUACG